RNAcentral lists this ribosomal RNA (779 nucleotides) under Acinetobacter sp. 49AAV. RNAcentral's name for it is "bacterial SSU rRNA". It matches the Rfam family "Bacterial small subunit ribosomal RNA", at positions 65 to 839 of the family's 1533-position model. Lineage: Bacteria; Pseudomonadati; Pseudomonadota; Gammaproteobacteria; Moraxellales; Moraxellaceae. The record is from RNAcentral.
AGCGGGGAAAGUAGCUUGCUACUUGACCUAGCGGCGGACGGGUGAGUAAUGCUUAGGAAUCUGCCUAUUAGUGGGGGACAACAUCUCGAAAGGGAUGCUAAUACCGCAUACGUCCUACGGGAGAAAGCAGGGGACCUUCGGGCCUUGCGCUAAUAGAUGAGCCUAAGUCGGAUUAGCUAGUUGGUGGGGUAAAGGCCUACCAAGGCGACGAUCUGUAGCGGGUCUGAGAGGAUGAUCCGCCACACUGGGACUGAGACACGGCCCAGACUCCUACGGGAGGCAGCAGUGGGGAAUAUUGGACAAUGGGGGGAACCCUGAUCCAGCCAUGCCGCGUGUGUGAAGAAGGCCUUUUGGUUGUAAAGCACUUUAAGCGAGGAGGAGGCUACCGAGAUUAAUACUCUUGGAUAGUGGACGUUACUCGCAGAAUAAGCACCGGCUAACUCUGUGCCAGCAGCCGCGGUAAUACAGAGGGUGCAAGCGUUAAUCGGAUUUACUGGGCGUAAAGCGCGCGUAGGUGGCCAAUUAAGUCAAAUGUGAAAUCCCCGAGCUUAACUUGGGAAUUGCAUUCGAUACUGGUUGGCUAGAGUAUGGGAGAGGAUGGUAGAAUUCCAGGUGUAGCGGUGAAAUGCGUAGAGAUCUGGAGGAAUACCGAUGGCGAAGGCAGCCAUCUGGCCUAAUACUGACACUGAGGUGCGAAAGCAUGGGGAGCAAACAGGAUUAGAUACCCUGGUAGUCCAUGCCGUAAACGAUGUCUANUAGCCGUUGGGGCCUUUGAGGCU